This 638-nucleotide ribosomal RNA is filed under the name uncultured bacterium. RNAcentral describes it as "bacterial SSU rRNA". It matches the Rfam family "Bacterial small subunit ribosomal RNA", at positions 202 to 842 of the family's 1533-position model. The record is from RNAcentral.
AAAGAAAUUCGGUGAAGGAUGGGCAUGCGUCGCAUUAGUUAGUUGGCGGUGUAACGGACCACCAAGACGACGAUGCGUAGGGGUUCUGAGAGGAAGGUCCCCCACACUGGUACUGAGACACGGACCAGACUCCUACGGGAGGCAGCAGUGAGGAAUAUUGGUCAAUGGCCGAGAGGCUGAACCAGCCAAGUCGCGUGAGGGAAGAAUGUCCUAUGGAUUGUAAACCUCUUUUGUCAGGGAGCAAAGUCACCCACGUGUGGGUGUUGGAGAGUACCUGAAGAAAAAGCAUCGGCUAACUCCGUGCCAGCAGCCGCGGUAAUACGGAGGAUGCGAGCGUUAUCCGGAUUUAUUGGGUUUAAAGGGUGCGUAGGCGGGUUAUCAAGUCAGCGGUAAAAUCGUGGAGCUCAACUCCAUCCAGCCGUUGAAACUGAUGAUCUUGAGUGGGCGAGAAGUAUGCGGAAUGCGUGGUGUAGCGGUGAAAUGCAUAGAUAUCACGCAGAACUCCGAUUGCGAAGGCAGCAUACCGGCGCCCGACUGACGCUGAAGCACGAAAGCGUGGGUAUCGAACAGGAUUAGAUACCCUGGUAGUCCACGCAGUAAACGAUGAAUACUAAUUGUGUGCUCCGAAUGAGGAGUGC